CCUAUCUAUCCAGCUGGUGAUGCCAUCAGAGAAGGCUACGAGGUUUGUCAAGCACAACAUAAGGUCAAAAUAUAAGGUCAAAACAAUACAAAAAUAACAAACCAGAAGGUUCCAGAAAAGCAAUGUUGGCAAAAUGUACUAUCUGAUUUCCAGUGGCUCUAUGCUACCAGAAGCUUAGAGAUAAAUAGUUGUCUGUUCUCAAUUCAAUAGAGAAGAAAAAGCUCCUUCAACAUCCCACACCAGGAAAGAAAGAAAGGAAAAGAAAUCUGGAGCUGCUACAGUUUUUUGUAAAAUUAGUUGUUCUCAAUUCAGCUAUUUAUUGGAAAUAUUAAACUUGAAUGUUUUCCUGUGUCUGGUGCAAAAAUAAAGUUUAAUGUCUAGAGAAAGGAGGGCAUUCUAAUUGUGUUAGAAGGAAUUAGAAUUAGUUCCUGCUUAAUAUUCAUUUUACCUAAUUAACUUCUUACUAACUGUCCUCACCAGAGCUGUUGGCAUUAACCCCCUGAAUGGGUCAGAAGAGAUACGGAUAAACUGAAGGCAAAUGAGGAGAGCAGAUUGCUCAUGGUGUGCUGAAUGCUUUGAUGUGGCAAGGUACUGCAGUUCUUUAUGGCUCCAAAGCACUACAUGCAUCGUAUGGACACAGAUGUCCUGAGUGUUUCACCUCAUUCACCAAACAGCAGGAAGGUUACGCACAGUAGAAAACAUCUUCUUCCAGAAGACCUUGAAAAACUGUUGGAAUGAUGACAUGUCCUACAGAAGCUGUGCUGGUAAUUCAAAUGUUUUUGAUAUGUGAUUCCUAAUUUUAGAAGUUGUGCUUGAUUUGCUUUGCUGCGGUGUUCCAGGUAGGACCUGCAGUUCAUGAAAUUGCAUGAACUACGAAUGUGAGUAAGGUGUGUUCAUCAGAAAAGGUUCAUUUACUGUUUCUUAGCAGAGCAGAGCUGGUCCAACAUCUCACCAAUCUGUCUGUUGUCUACCUUCCUUCAAUUCCUUCAGUUCUUUCAGAAGUACUCUCUGGUUAAAGUGUGGUGCUCCAGAACAGUAGUCCAUGUAAGAUUCCACAGAGCAGGGAUAAUAUCCAAUUUCUUGUUUUCCUGAAUAUAACUUCUGUUAAUGCUGGAGUGAAAGGCAACAAAAACGGUACAUCUUUAGUAAAUCUUAUGAUGUUACCAUGAAACUGUGGCUGCUAUGAACCAAGUUUUAAAGUGCCCUUCUCCUUUAAGGCAAAAGGGGAAAAGAUACCCAACCUGUUUCUACUCCAUUGCGACUGUUUUACAAACAAUGCUUUGCUUUGAACACGUAUUGUGAAAAAAUUGAAUAGUGUUAACAAUUUGAAUAUUGUGAAUAUUCUGAUAGAGUAUGCUAAUUAAAAGUCAAUUUAGUUACGUGUUUAAGAGGAAUCUGAUCUCUAUAAAUCAUUGUCCAUAGACAUUUCUACUUCUCACCCAUCCCUGGUGGCAUAUUAUUCAAGGAGUGCAAAUGUGUUCUUUAAAGUACUGAGAAAAAGUGAAAAAUAUGUUUUCUCCCCUUUUCUAUUACUGUCACCUUCAUAGCAGUUUCCUGGUUGACCAACCCUGCUCUCUGACAGUCUCUGUCACGGAAACUGGAAUGGAAUUUCAGAGCUGAUGCAGGCUGUGAGAUGGUAAUUGAGUGUGUGACUGAGCUUUUGGAAUAUGAUGUAUCAGGUCCGUAGUGC
RNAcentral lists this long non-coding RNA (1690 nucleotides) under Phasianus colchicus (ring-necked pheasant). RNAcentral describes it as "lncRNA (ENSPCLG00000010917.1)". The record is from RNAcentral. Lineage: Eukaryota; Metazoa; Chordata; Aves; Galliformes; Phasianidae.